Molecule: long non-coding RNA, 1030 nt
Organism: Xiphias gladius (swordfish)
Lineage: Eukaryota; Metazoa; Chordata; Actinopteri; Istiophoriformes; Xiphiidae
Exons: 3
Source: RefSeq, a predicted model, not a curated record
GCACGUCGGACUCACGGCAGAAACAAGUUAGGGUACCCUCACACACAUCAUCGGAAAAAAGUCCGGCUCCAAGCACAGGACUCCGCAGGCGUUGAAAGAGAAACUUUUUUUCAGAGCCUCGGCUGAAAACAAGGUGGCUAUGAGAGAAAAAACAGCUCAGUACCCCAAAAGCGUCAAGCCUGAGAGGGGGUCUGGAUGAGGCAACAGACAAGCGGCGGUGAGACGGGAUCACUGACCUCUGCACAGCCGUCGGCCUAUAAGAGCUUUCAUCUCAGAGGCACGAGAAGAGGUGGAGGACGGAGACUAAUGUACAUAAACAACACAAGACAAAUCACCAGAGAGGCUGAAAGAUAAUGGAAGCAGCAGUUCUUGCACUAAUGUUGCCUGGCAACCAGACCAAGGUGAUUUAGAAACUGAAUACAUUCGCUGAAUAUUUGUCUUAAAAGUGGCGUUUCCAUGCGUCGAAGCAGGUAAAUGUCUGGCAAAAUUCAUCAGGCACGUCUGUUUCCAUUUCGUGGGACAAAACACAAGAAUGGAGAUGCGGGCUUGUGAGUGGUGGACUGUAACUUCAAAUCCUCAGGCCGACUAUCUGGGCAAAUCCAGGAUGAGUGAAAGAGAGUGAGCGACGCACCAGUCCUUUUUAACAAGCUCUGCGUGGGUGCCCUUUAACAUGGCAAUUGACCCCCCCCGACACCUCCAGUGAAUGGUCAGCAGCACAAAACUGCACUUGUGUUGCGCAGGCGUGUGCACAUCUUUAUCACGUUUCUGGCAUGAAAAAAGGGGAAAGAUAUAGCUGGUGCUGGAUGUCUGUAUCAAAUCUAAGGUCGUUCAUUAAUGAUUGAACGCAUUUUCAAGCACAUUAAAGGUCGGAAAGACACAAUGAAAGAACUUGCACCGGGAGUUGGCAGUAUCAUUAUUGCACAAGCGAAAAAAUCCAUCUUGUAUUCCUUCUUAAAAUCUUUAAAGUGUAGUCUGUCUUGAGGUCCGCUGGCCUGGAGGGAUAAUUUAUUUAACGUAAUAAAUUUUGGGA